CUGCAGGCUCAUCAUCGGUCCAGCUGGAGGAAACGCUUUUAAUGAUGCAUGGUCAUAGAAGAGUGAGAAACCGAUCGAUUGUGAGUCGUCGCUGACUAAACUUUCUCCUUCUUCUUCAAAGAUCCAGGAGCUCAAUAAAAACCUGGAUCUGUGUGUGACGUCAACAGCCUCUGAGCCAGAGAUCAACAAUGAAGCUUUGAACCUUUAAGGCCCAAACUCCAAGUCCUUGUAGACACAGCUAACACCUGGGCUUACUGUAUGUGUAUGCGUCAGGGUAGAGCGCUUACAUAAAGCACUUCAAACUCUUCAGAGAGAGAGAGGAGUCAAACGCUAACACGCGCUCUCUGGGGAAGAAUGAUGCACAAAGUGAGUUAAAGAGAGAAAACACAGAUGACAGAGAGCUUCACAGACGCAGAGAUCUGAAGACGUGGAGGCGAAGAAGGAGAGGAUGAGGGAAGAAAGAUGCAAUGAGAGGAUGCAAGGAAGACAAAGACGCAAGUGAAAAGACUGAAUAAAUGAUUCAGAAUAAAGAUGAAAGAACAGCGGGAGGAGGGGAAGAGAAGGUCAGGGAACGGCCAAAUGAGCAGAAACAGCAGCUGACAGGUGAAGACGGACGAUCAAUGCCACAGAUCACAGAGGCAGGUGGACAGGACCUGCACUGACUCAUCUGUGCCUUCGUGUGUGUUGAAGCGAGGACGGGCCGCUUCCCAUCCUACGUCUCAUCUCUGCCUUUCUCUGGGGAUGUGGCAAAUCAAGUGCGGCCCAGAAAACGGAAGUUUGUCAUCAUUAAACUUCUUGAGUUUACAAAGAAAAGCUCACAAACAUUCACAACACAAGAUUAAUGACCCAGAGAAGCUGGAAGCCAUUACAGAGGGCUCACCUGACGACAAAGGGACUGGUCAGAUCAGCUGAAGAUCAGGCGAGGUCAUGUCAUGGGUUGUCAUGGAAACAGCCGGAUCAGUUUUUGCCCAUUAUCGUGUCUGAUUUAGAUUGCAUACGGUGGUUUGGCCUAAAUUUACGCUGCGGUCUCAACACCACGUCUCCACCAACCAGCUUCUGAGAACUGCUUCAGUGAGAGGAUGAGCACUCACACACUGUGGUCGGGCCAAACCACUGAGGUGGGCGUUCAGAUGGUGACUGGACCAAGGCUGCACUGGAAAAACCAAGACCUUUGACUCAACUGCUGCUGUCAUGCAAAACUAAGUUUAUGAGGAGAAACGUGACUUGGUCCCACUUAUGUGAAAAAUGUUGAGUAAAUGAUGAAAGUCUUUAGAUCAGGGUCGGCCAGCGCACAACAAACCUGAAUAAUAAUAACAUCAUGUUCACGUUCACGAACUGAAAGAUCUGGAGGAACCUCUCAUCUGUUAAUCCAUGGUUUAAAGUGGUUUCCUGCUGUUUUAGGUUUGUGCUAUGAUCCAUUCUUUUCAUUCUGUCGCAGAUUCUACUGUCCAUUAUUUUUCGGUGGGUCUCCUUCCAUAACUGUGUUAGAUGACGCAGCUGUUCUCACCAUCAUACGUUAUCUGUCCUGGCGAUAUAGAAACUUUACCGGUGGGUGCGAGUACAACCAACUGAACUCAGCUGUCAAACAUCACGUGAGGUUUUAUGAGCUGCAGUUUCUAAGACCAGAAAGUUCUCGCCUGCUAAAUCACUCUUUAAAUCAUCACCACCAGCAUUUUCAGUGUUCAGUUUCUU
RNAcentral lists this long non-coding RNA (1692 nucleotides) under Betta splendens (Siamese fighting fish). RNAcentral describes it as "lncRNA (ENSBSLG00000006647.1)". The record is from RNAcentral. Lineage: Eukaryota; Metazoa; Chordata; Actinopteri; Anabantiformes; Osphronemidae.